AGAAGGAGGACGAAGAAGGCUAAUAGUGGCUCAGAUGGUGAUGAUUAGGGUUGGAUGUUACGUGACGAUAACUUCACGUCACCACUUAACACGAUCGGGACCACAACCACAAACUACAACGAUGGUGAACUCGAUAGUGGAGGAUGAUGGUGACUUGAGAGUUGAGAUCAAAUUUCUAUGAUUUUGAUAAGGUUAACAUUGCGUGCUCGUAACAUAAGCGGCGAGAGGAAGAAGACAUUAUAUACAUACGUACACACUUCUCACGUUUAGGUCUUGUUUUUAAUGAAGAUGGGCUUAAUGAGAAAUUGGGUCUUAGCUUUACCUCCUUUCGCCGUCUCCAGUCACGCCGAGACAGCUCCCUUUCAUGCUUCUUCCGCCAGAAUCCA
Arabidopsis thaliana (thale cress) is the source of this 386-nucleotide long non-coding RNA. RefSeq annotates it as other RNA. Lineage: Eukaryota; Viridiplantae; Streptophyta; Magnoliopsida; Brassicales; Brassicaceae. The transcript has a single exon. The record is from RefSeq.